ACUUCCGCUUCCGUGCCGACGCAAAGAACCAAAGAAAAAUGGCGAAGGCCGCGGAUAAGACCGGCAGUGGAGGGAAGAAAAAUCUGAAAAGGAAAGCCGUUACCGAAGAACCGCAGGAGGCUACGGUCGCUGGGGAUGAGGCGACAGAAAGUGGGGUUCAGCCCGCGAAAGCGGCUGCGUUUCCCCCAGGUUUCAGCAUUUCCGAGAUUAAGAACAAACAGCGGCGACACUUAAUGUUCACGCGGUGGAAACAGCAGCAGCGCAAGGAAAAGUUGGCAGCUAAGAAAAAACUUAAAAAACAGAGAGAGGCUCUUGGUGAUAAGGCUCCACCAAAGCCUGUACCCAAGACCAUUGACAACCAGCGCAUGUAUGAUGAAACCAUAGUAGACCCUAAUGAUGAAGAGGUUGCUUAUGAUGAAGCUACAGAUGAAUUUGCUUCUUACUUCAACAGACAAACUUCUCCCAAGAUUCUCAUCACAACAUCAGAUAGACCUCAUGGGAGAACAGUAAAACUUUGUGAACAGCUCUCCACAGUUAUACCAAACUCACAUGUUUAUUACAGAAGAGGACUGGCUCUGAAAAAAAUUAUUCCACAGUGCAUUUCAAGAGAUUUCACAGAUCUGAUUGUUAUUAAUGAAGAUCGUAAAACACCAAAUGGACUGAUUUUGAGUCACUUGCCAAAUGGUCCAACUGCUCAUUUUAAAAUGAGCAGUGUUCGUCUUCGUAAAGAAAUUAAGAGAAGAGGCAAGGACCCCACAGAACACAGACCUGAAAUAAUUCUGAAUAAUUUUACAACACGGCUAGGUCAUUCUAUUGGUCGUAUGUUUGCUUCUCUCUUUCCCCAUAAUCCUCAGUUUAUUGGAAGGCAAGUUGCUACAUUCCAUAAUCAGCGGGAUUAUAUCUUCUUCAGAUUUCACAGAUACAUAUUCAAGAGUGAAAAGAAAGCAGGAAUUCAGGAACUUGGACCACGUUUUACCUUAAAAUUAAGAUCUCUUCAGAAAGGAACCUUUGAUUCUAAAUAUGGAGAAUAUGAAUGGGUCCAUAAGCCCCGGGAAAUGGAUACAAGUAGAAGAAAAUUUCAUUUGUAAAGUACUGAGGGGAUAACUUGGAUUUUGCUGAACAGGCCUAUCUUGAACUUGGUAAAUUAUUUCUGAUGGAAUACCCUUUUCAAAAUGGCAUUUACUGAUUUCAAAAACUCCCUUUCAUGUCUGGACAAAAAUGACCAAGUACCCUGGACUGCCAUUGUUUAUAUAGUAAAUGAGUAAAGUAUAAAUAUAUGAAUACAAAGACACAUCAAAAAGUUCAUGGAAAAGGGAAUUCAAAGAUGAACUUAUGAAGGUGGGCACUUGGCACAGCUGUCAAGACACUGCCUGAAAUGUCUACAUCCUAUAUACAGUGUCUGGAUUCAAGACUCCGCACCUCUUCCGUUUGCAGCUUCCUGCUAAUGGGAACCCUGUGAGACAGCAGUGAUGCCUCAAGUACUUGUGUCCCUACCACCCACAUGAGAGAUCUGGACUGAGUUCUGGGGUCCUGGCUUUGGAUUGGCCACGCCUCAGCUGCUCCAGGCAUUUGGGAAACAAAGCAGCAGAUACAGGAUCUGUCUGUCUGUCUGUCUCUCUUUCUCUAUUUAUUUGACAAGCAGAAUUUACUGAGAGAGAUCUUCUGUCUCCUGGUUCACUCUCCCAAAAGGCUGCAAAGACCAGGGCCCAGGGCCAGGACCUUCUUUUGGUCUCCCACAUGGGUGCAGGGGCCUAAACACUUGGGCUAUCCUCCACUGCUUUCCCAGGCACAUUGGAAAUGGAGCAUCCAGGACUCAGACCAGCACCCUUAUGGGAUGCAGGUGUCACAGGCCAUGAAUUUAACUGCUAUGCGACAGCACCAGCCCCACAAAGAUACUUUUAAUGGGGUAUGUUUGAUGCCAAAAAUUAACCCAUAUUGGUUUUUCAUAAUACUUAUUUUCCAUAAACUUUGAAGACACUGCAUAGACCUUCAUCACACUGUAGCUUCAAAUUUGGAAACAAAUCUCUAAUAUUCAAUGAAGUACAACUGAUACAACUACUAGAACUUUAUGAAAAAUGUUUCAUGAAAUAGGUAGUUUUUAAAUGUUUUUAUAAAGCAGAAUGAAAAACUCCACAUACCUUUAUUCUUUAAAAAUAUUAUAAAGAAAUGUCGGCCGGCGCCGCAGCUCACUAGGCUGAUCCUCCGCCUUGUGGCGCCAGCACACCGGGUUCUAGUCUUGGUUGGGGCGCCGGAUUCUGUCCCAGUUGCCCCUCUUCCAGGCCAGCUCUCUGCUGUAGCCAGGGAUUGCAGUGGAGGAUGGCCCAAGUACUUGGGCCCUGCA
Molecule: RNA transcript, 2341 nt
Organism: Oryctolagus cuniculus (rabbit)
Lineage: Eukaryota; Metazoa; Chordata; Mammalia; Lagomorpha; Leporidae
Gene: RPF1
Gene name: ribosome production factor 1 homolog
Source: RefSeq, a predicted model, not a curated record